Molecule: ribosomal RNA, 349 nt
Filed under: uncultured bacterium
Lineage: Bacteria
Description: bacterial SSU rRNA
Rfam family: Bacterial small subunit ribosomal RNA
Source: RNAcentral
GACGAACGCUGGCAGCGUGCCUAACACAUGCAAGUCGAACGGGGCAGUCUCUUCGGAGACUGCUUAGUGGCGAACGGGUGAGUAACGCGUGAGGAACCUGCCUUUCAGUGGGGGACAACAGUUGGAAACGACUGCUAAUACCGCAUAACAUCUUCUGGGGACAUCCCCUAAAGAUCAAAGCUUUANGUGCUGAAAGAUGGCCUCGCGUCUGAUUAGCUAGUUGGUGAGGUAAACGGCUCACCAAGGCGACGAUCAGUAGCCGGUCUGAGAGGAUGAACGGCCACAUUGGGACUGAGAUACGGCCCAGACUCCUACGGGAGGCAGCAGUGGGGAAUAUUGGGCAAUGGGG